RNAcentral lists this transfer-messenger RNA (78 nucleotides) under Actinomycetota bacterium. RNAcentral describes it as "Actinobacteria bacterium partial transfer-messenger RNA". It matches the Rfam family "transfer-messenger RNA", at positions 293 to 374 of the family's 374-position model. Rfam says of the family: Bacterial tmRNA, also known as 10Sa RNA or SsrA, is named for its dual tRNA and mRNA-like properties. Lineage: Bacteria; Bacillati; Actinomycetota. The record is from RNAcentral.
AACGAUAAUUGCACUACGCCCGUAGAAGACUUGGAUGAUAGCUAGAGGACCCGGGUUCAAUUCCCGGCACCUCCACUU